GAGAGUUUGAUCCUGGCUCAGGACGAACGCUGGCGGCGUGCCUAAUACAUGCAAGUCGAGCGGACAGAUGGGAGCUUGCUCCCUGAUGUUAGCGGCGGACGGGUGAGUAACACGUGGGUAACCUGCCUGUAAGACUGGGAUAACUCCGGGAAACCGGGGCUAAUACCGGAUGGUUGUUUGGACCGCAUGGUUCAAACAUAAAAGGUGGCUUCGGCUACCACUUACAGAUGGACCCGCGGCGCAUUAGCUAGUUGGUGAGGUAACGGCUCACCAAGGCAACGAUGCGUAGCCGACCUGAGAGGGUGAUCGGCCACACUGGGACUGAGACACGGCCCAGACUCCUACGGGAGGCAGCAGUAGGGAAUCUUCCGCAAUGGACGAAAGUCUGACGGAGCAACGCCGCGUGAGUGAUGAAGGUUUUCGGAUCGUAAAGCUCUGUUGUUAGGGAAGAACAAGUACCGUUCGAAUAGGGCGGUACCUUGACGGUACCUAACCAGAAAGCCACGGCUAACUACGUGCCAGCAGCCGCGGUAAUACGUAGGUGGCAAGCGUUGUCCGGAAUUAUUGGGCGUAAAGGGCUCGCAGGCGGUUUCUUAAGUCUGAUGUGAAAGCCCCCGGCUCAACCGGGGAGGGUCAUUGGAAACUGGGGAACUUGAGUGCAGAAGAGGAGAGUGGAAUUCCACGUGUAGCGGUGAAAUGCGUAGAGAUGUGGAGGAACACCAGUGGCGAAGGCGACUCUCUGGUCUGUAACUGACGCUGAGGAGCGAAAGCGUGGGGAGCGAACAGGAUUAGAUACCCUGGUAGUCCACGCCGUAAACGAUGAGUGCUAAGUGUUAGGGGGUUUCCGCCCCUUAGUGCUGCAGCUAACGCAUUAAGCACUCCGCCUGGGGAGUACGGUCGCAAGACUGAAACUCAAAGGAAUUGACGGGGGCCCGCACAAGCGGUGGAGCAUGUGGUUUAAUUCGAAGCAACGCGAAGAACCUUACCAGGUCUUGACAUCCUCUGACAAUCCUAGAGAUAGGACGUCCCCUUCGGGGGCAGAGUGACAGGUGGUGCAUGGUUGUCGUCAGCUCGUGUCGUGAGAUGUUGGGUUAAGUCCCGCAACGAGCGCAACCCUUGAUCUUAGUUGCCAGCAUUCAGUUGGGCACUCUAAGGUGACUGCCGGUGACAAACCGGAGGAAGGUGGGGAUGACGUCAAAUCAUCAUGCCCCUUAUGACCUGGGCUACACACGUGCUACAAUGGACAGAACAAAGGGUAGCGAAACCGCGAGGUUAAGCCAAUCCCACAAAUCUGUUCUCAGUUCGGAUCGCAGUCUGCAACUCGACUGCGUGAAGCUGGAAUCGCUAGUAAUCGCGGAUCAGCAUGCCGUGGUGAAUACGUUCCCGGGCCUUGUACACACCGCCCGUCAUACCACGAGAGUUUGUAACACCCGAAGUCGGUGAGGUAACCUUUUAGGAGCCAGCCGCCGAAGGUGGGACAGAUGAUUGGGGUGAAGUCGUAACAAGGUAGCCGUAUCGGAAGGUGCGGCUGGAUCACCUCCUUUCU
Molecule: ribosomal RNA, 1546 nt
Filed under: Bacillus subtilis
Lineage: Bacteria; Bacillati; Bacillota; Bacilli; Caryophanales; Bacillaceae
Description: 16S ribosomal RNA
Rfam family: Bacterial small subunit ribosomal RNA
Source: RNAcentral